Molecule: ribosomal RNA, 598 nt
Filed under: uncultured bacterium
Lineage: Bacteria
Description: bacterial SSU rRNA
Rfam family: Bacterial small subunit ribosomal RNA
Source: RNAcentral
CAGGCCUAACACAUGCAAGUCGAGCGAGAAAGUGACUUCGGUCACGAGUAAAGCGGCGAACGGGUGAGUACAACGUGGAUAAUCUACCCUAGGGUCUGGGACAACCCCGAGAAAUCGGAGCUAAUACCGGAUAAGACCACAGUAUCCAAGGAUACAGUGGUAAAAGAUUUAUCGCCUUUGGAUGAGUCCACGUCCCAUCAGGUAGUUGGUAAGGUAAAAGCUUACCAAGCCUAAGACGGGUAGCCGGCCUUAGCGGGUGAACGGCCACAUGGGGACUGAGACACGGCCCUGACUCCUACGGGAGGCAGCAGUGGGGAAUAUUGGGCAAUGGGCGAAAGCCUGACCCAGCGAUGCCGCGUGAGGGAUGAAGGCCUUCGGGUUGUAAACCUCUGUCAGGAGGGACGAUGGGACACUUGUGUCUUGACGGUACCUCCAGAGGAAGCCCCGGCUAACUCCGUGCCAGCAGCCGCGGUAAUACGGAGGGGGCAAGCGUUGCUCGGAAUUACUGGGCGUAAAGGGUCCGCAGGCUGUCAGGCAAGUUGGUUGUGAAAGCUCAAGGUUUAACCUUGGAAUUGCAUCCAAAACUGCCUGACUAGAG